GGAUAAUCUACCCUUAGGACCGGGAUAACCCUGGGAAACUGGGGCUAAUACUGGAUAGGCAAUUUUUCCUGCAAUGGUUUUUUGUUUAAAUGUUUUUUCGCCUAAGGAUGAGUCUGCGGCCGAUUAGGUAGUUGGUUAGGUAAUGGCUUACCAAGCCGUUGAUCGGUACGGGUUGUGAGAGCAAGAGCCCGGAGAUGGAACCUGAGACAAGGUUCCAGGCCCUACGGGGUGCAGCAGGCGCGAAACCUCCGCAAUGUGAGAAAUCGCGACGGGGGGAUCCCAAGUGCCAUUCUUAACGGGAUGGCUUUUCAUUAGUGUAAAGAGCUUUUGGAAUAAGAGCUGGGCAAGACCGGUGCCAGCCGCCGCGGUAACACCGGCAGCUCUAGUGGUAACAAUUUUUAUUGGGCCUAAAGCGUCCGUAGCCGGUUUAAUAAGUCUCUGGUGAAAUCCUGUAGCUUAACUGUGGGAAUUGCUGGAGAUACUAUUAGACUUGAGACCGGGAGAGGUUAGAGGUACUCCCAGGGUAGAGGUGAAAUUCUGUAAUCCUGGGAGGACCGCCUGUUGCGAAGGCGUCUAACUGGAACGGUUCUGACGGUGAGGGACGAAAGUUAGGGGCGCGAACCGGAUUAGAUACCCGGGUAGUCCUAACCGUAAACGAUGCGGACUUGGUGCUGGGGUGGCUUUGAGCUGCUCCAGUGCC
This 700-nucleotide ribosomal RNA is filed under the name uncultured archaeon. Its description in RNAcentral is "bacterial SSU rRNA". It matches the Rfam family "Archaeal small subunit ribosomal RNA", at positions 102 to 802 of the family's 1478-position model. The record is from RNAcentral.